UCCGGUGGCGAUGCGCUUAGGGGAAACACCCGUACCCAUCCCGAACACGAUGGUUAAGACCUAAGCGGCCGAUGGUACUAUGCUGGAGACGGCAUGGGAGAGCAGGUGG
Molecule: ribosomal RNA, 109 nt
Filed under: Enterocloster bolteae
Lineage: Bacteria; Bacillati; Bacillota; Clostridia; Lachnospirales; Lachnospiraceae
Source: RNAcentral